Molecule: non-coding RNA, 2267 nt
Organism: Petromyzon marinus (sea lamprey)
Lineage: Eukaryota; Metazoa; Chordata; Hyperoartia; Petromyzontiformes; Petromyzontidae
Source: RefSeq, a predicted model, not a curated record
CACGCGAUACGCCACUUCGCUGAGCCAUCAUUUGUGGCCAGGUCGCUACUGACAAAGACCCGCCUGCUACGUAGCGCAGUGGUAUUAAAAAAAGAAAUAGUUUAAGCGGAGAGACGGAGGUGUAUAUGAGAAUGAGACAUCGUUCGCGUGCUUUUUUUUGUAUUUCACUGCAGCACACGGGCGCUCAAUCUCCGGUAGCGGCAUUCCAGGAGUAAAAAAUAAAAUACAAAAUUAUCAGCGGCGUGGUGCUUUCUGAGCCACCGCUUUGGGAUCACUUUCUGAGCCACUGGAACCGGGGAACCGGGGAACCUCGCCGGAAUCCCUCCCCAUCCCCCGGCUCGCGAAGCGCUCCGUUUGGAACGCGCGGCUUGCUCGGCCUUGAUCAUCGAGUCACGUGUUCAUCGCAACAACAGCGGCAGCAACGGACAAUUGCCUGCCUAGGUUGGGCGAAUUUUCCCACGAUGAUUUCACGAUGCAAUUUUAGUUUUCUGUCUGUUGUUGUUGUUUUGUUGUUUUUGUUCGCUUUGUCCUUGCAUAGCAGGAGGCGGAUUCUCGGAGUGAGUGGAACGAGUCGCUUGGGGUGCAUGCGCGAGGCGGUGCGGGGAGUGUGAGAGGCGUUGGAGGCGAGGGAGAGAUGGUGACAAGGGCCGUGAGCGAGCGGUUUGCGUGGGGCAGCACCACGCCCGACCGCCUUUGUCUCCAGUCUUUGACCACGCCGCACCAGGAGCAGCAGCGCACGGACGCAUUCGUCCCGAGAGGCGAGCCGGAGUUGCGUCCCCACGUCGGACAGCCCGCAGGGAGGGCGACGCUUCCGCAGCGUCUCCUCGCUCGGAUAUCAAUCUCCAUCUGUGUGUCCUAAAUGCAGACGAAGGCAAAGAUCCCCCGUAUAGCCUCGGCAGACUUUUUGGGGAAAGUGCCGUUAGCGAGCAGCACUUACGAUGGCCGGCGCGGCACCUACGAAGGGGGCGGGCGGGUGGCCAGCACGACCACUCCCCGGCCCCCUUUGUCUCCCCAGUGCCGAUAUUCACAUGCUGCACCAGCUACUCAUGAGGCUGAGUCGACCUAGGGGAGGGCACCCGGACCGGUGCAGACAUUCGCCCGGCCGCUGUCUGCCGUCCGCGAGCGGGAAUCGAACUCGGGUGGCGCGGUCCCCUUAUAUUCCACUGCGCGGUAGCAACGCGGGCGAUUGCCGUGUCCCGGGACUGCCGAGCAGAGCAGGGGAGGCUGCACGCGACGCAGGGGCGGCGUUGGCGUUGGGGGAGGAGGAGGAGGGAGGUCGGGACUCAGUGAGGCCUCUAGUUGGGGCUAAAGGGAUUGGAGAUGCUCAGGCGUCGCUGCCGUGCAGGAUGAAGGAGGAGGCGGGAGGCGGGGGUGGGUGUCUCCCACAUGCCCGCCGUGAAAACGGGGACACUCCGUGCGCAAGAUGAUUCGAGGUGAGCGUCUCGGUGUCCGUAAAUGUUUGCGCGGGGUUGCUGUUCGCUGCCGUAGCCUUUCCGAUCUUAACAGACGUGUGCAUUUAAUCCAAUAACGAAUUCUUGUUGUUGUUGUUGUUAUUAUUGGGAGUGUAGGGAUAUAAAAUCGCCGCGUGAGUGCAAUGCCAACGCCAAUGUCGUAUCACCCUCGUCCACCCGGCACGGGCCACGUUCAAGUCAUCCAGUUGCUCCACACGCAACAAUCGCCGCCGAUUUUUUUUGCGAGCCGCUUCGGGCAAGCGCCAUGGGGCGGCGAUGCUUGGACAGCGGAGCCGGGGACAGAUCCAUUCGGUGCGCAACGUUUCGCUGCUCGUGUCACGGGCAGCGUCAUGUGGCGAUUGGCGGAAUUCUGGAACCGCUUCCCCCCCCACCCCCACCCAAAGAGAGAUUUAAUUGCUACGGCGAGGAAGCUGAAUAUCUUGAGGCGGCGUCAAGCCACUGCUAGAGAAUGGUCUGCACGCGUUCAAUUGACGGCCGCGCACAUCAUCGACGGCAGCAAAUUAUUCCGCACCUGGUGAUUUCUGCGCUGAUUUGUGCUUUCAUUUUUUUGGUUAUCAGUUAAUGCCAAUGAUGACGCGGCUGAGAGUCAAGGUUGUUACAUUUCGUGGUGUCAAUAAUAAAAGUGCGUUCAACGUGUGAGGAACCGCACGGUUUUUCGCUCGCCCUCGAAAAGAGAGCACGACUCAGAGAGAGAGAGGACGACUCGAACAGGACGACUUAGAGAGAAAGAGAGGACGACUCCGAGAGGACGACUCCGAGAGAGAGAGAAGACGACUCAGAGAGAGCGAAGACGAC